GGUCCCUUAGUUCAAUGGAUAGAAUGUAAGAUUCCGGUUCUUAAGAUAGAGGUUCGACUCCUCUAGGGACUA
RNAcentral lists this transfer RNA (72 nucleotides) under Bacteroidota bacterium. RNAcentral describes it as "tRNA-Arg". It matches the Rfam family "tRNA". Rfam says of the family: Transfer RNA (tRNA) molecules are approximately 80 nucleotides in length. The record is from RNAcentral. Lineage: Bacteria; Pseudomonadati; Bacteroidota. RNAcentral also lists the same sequence under 1 other name.